UAAGCGACUAAGCGUACACGGUGGAUGCCCUGGCAGUCAGAGGCGAUGAAGGACGUGCUAAUCUGCGAAAAGCGACGGCGAGGUGAUAUGAACCUUUGACCCGUCGAUGUCCGAAUGGGGAAACCCAGUGUGUUCCGACACACUAUCGUUAACUGAAUACAUAGGUUAACGAGGCGAACCGGGGGAACUGAAACAUCUAAGUACCCCGAGGAAAAGAAAUCAACCGAGAUUCCCCCAGUAGCGGCGAGCGAACGGGGAGCAGCCCGGAGUCUGAAUCAGCUUGUGUGUUAGUGGAACGGUCUGGAAAGUCCGACGGUACAGGGUGAUAGUCCCGUACACGAAAAUGCACAGGUUGUGAACUCGAAGAGUAGGGCGGGACACGUGGUAUCCUGUCUGAAUAUGGGGGGACCAUCCUCCAAGGCUAAAUACUCCUGACUGACCGAUAGUGAACCAGUACCGUGAGGGAAAGGCGAAAAGAACCCCGGCGAGGGGAGUGAAAAAGAACCUGAAACCGUGUACGUACAAGCAGUGGGAGCCUCUUUAUGGGGUGACUGCGUACCUUUUGUAUAAUGGGUCAGCGACUUAUAUUCUGUAGCAAGGUUAACCGUAUAGGGGAGCCGAAGGGAAACCGAGUCUUAACUGGGCGUUAAGUUGCAGGGUAUAGACCCGAAACCCGGUGAUCUAGCCAUGGGCAGGUUGAAGGUUGGGUAACACUAACUGGAGGACCGAACCGACUAAUGUUGAAAAAUUAGCGGAUGACCUGUGGCUGGGGGUGAAAGGCCAAUCAAACCGGGAGAUAGCUGGUUCUCCCCGAAAGCUAUUUAGGUAGCGCCUCGUGAACUCAUCUUCGGGGGUAGAGCACUGUUUCGGCUAGGGGGCCAUCCCGGCUUACCAACCCGAUGCAAACUACGAAUACCGAAGAAUGUUAUCACGGGAGACACACGGCGGGUGCUAACGUCCGUCGUGAAGAGGGAAACAACCCAGACCGCCAGCUAAGGUCCCAAAGUCAUGGUUAAGUGGGAAACGAUGUGGGAAGGCACAGACAGCCAGGAUGUUGGCUUAGAAGCAGCCAUCAUUUAAAGAAAGCGUAAUAGCUCACUGGUCGAGUCGGCCUGCGCGGAAGAUGUAACGGGGCUAAACCAUGCACCGAAGCUGCGGCAGCGACACUAUGUGUUGUUGGGUAGGGGAGCGUUCUGUAAGCCGUUGAAGGUGUGCUGUGAGGCAUGCUGGAGGUAUCAGAAGUGCGAAUGCUGACAUAAGUAACGAUAAAGCGGGUGAAAAGCCCGCUCGCCGGAAGACCAAGGGUUCCUGUCCAACGUUAAUCGGGGCAGGGUGAGUCGACCCCUAAGGCGAGGCCGAAAGGCGUAGUCGAUGGGAAACAGGUUAAUAUUCCUGUACUUGGUGUUACUGCGAAGGGGGGACGGAGAAGGCUAUGUCAGCCGGGCGACGGUUGUCCCGGUUUAAGCAUGUAGGCGGAGGUUCCAGGUAAAUCCGGUACCUUUUAACGCUGAGGUGUGAUGACGAGGCACUACGGUGCUGAAGUGAUAAAUGCCCUGCUUCCAGGAAAAGCCUCUAAGCAUCAGGUAACACGAAAUCGUACCCCAAACCGACACAGGUGGUCAGGUAGAGAAUACCAAGGCGCUUGAGAGAACUCGGGUGAAGGAACUAGGCAAAAUGGUGCCGUAACUUCGGGAGAAGGCACGCUGAUAGGUAGGUGAAGCCCCUGCGGGCGGAGCUGAAAUCAGUCGAAGAUACCAGCUGGCUGCAACUGUUUAUUAAAAACACAGCACUGUGCAAACACGAAAGUGGACGUAUACGGUGUGACGCCUGCCCGGUGCCGGAAGGUUAAUUGAUGGGGUUAGCGGCAACGCGAAGCUCUUGAUCGAAGCCCCGGUAAACGGCGGCCGUAACUAUAACGGUCCUAAGGUAGCGAAAUUCCUUGUCGGGUAAGUUCCGACCUGCACGAAUGGCGUAAUGAUGGCCAGGCUGUCUCCACCCGAGACUCAGUGAAAUUGAACUCGCUGUGAAGAUGCAGUGUACCCGCGGCAAGACGGAAAGACCCCGUGAACCUUUACUAUAGCUUGACACUGAACACUGGUCCUUGAUGUGUAGGAUAGGUGGGAGGCUUUGAAGCGUGGACGCCAGUCUGCGUGGAGCCAUCCUUGAAAUACCACCCUUUAAUGGCUGGUGUUCUAACGUAGACCCGUGAUCCGGGUUGCGGACAGUGUCUGGUGGGUAGUUUGACUGGGGCGGUCUCCUCCCAAAGAGUAACGGAGGAGCACGAAGGUUGGCUAAUCCUGGUCGGACAUCAGGAGGUUAGUGCAAUGGCAUAAGCCAGCUUGACUGCGAGCGUGACGGCGCGAGCAGGUGCGAAAGCAGGUCAUAGUGAUCCGGUGGUUCUGAAUGGAAGGGCCAUCGCUCAACGGAUAAAAGGUACUCCGGGGAUAACAGGCUGAUACCGCCCAAGAGUUCAUAUCGACGGCGGUGUUUGGCACCUCGAUGUCGGCUCAUCACAUCCUGGGGCUGAAGUAGGUCCCAAGGGUAUGGCUGUUCGCCAUUUAAAGUGGUACGCGAGCUGGGUUUAGAACGUCGUGAGACAGUUCGGUCCCUAUCUGCCGUGGGCGCUGGAGAAUUGAGGGGGGCUGCUCCUAGUACGAGAGGACCGGAGUGGACGCAUCACUGGUGUUCGGGUUGUCAUGCCAAUGGCACUGCCCGGUAGCUAAAUGCGGAAGAGAUAAGUGCUGAAAGCAUCUAAGCACGAAACUUGCCCCGAGAUGAGUUCUCCCUGAGACUUUAAGUCUCCUGAAGGAACGUUGAAGACGACGACGUUGAUAGGUCGGGUGUGUAAGCGCAGCGAUGCGUUGAGCUAACCGAUACUAAUGAACCGUGAGGCUUAACCU
RNAcentral lists this ribosomal RNA (2900 nucleotides) under Enterobacter cloacae. Its description in RNAcentral is "bacterial LSU rRNA". It matches the Rfam family "Bacterial large subunit ribosomal RNA". Lineage: Bacteria; Pseudomonadati; Pseudomonadota; Gammaproteobacteria; Enterobacterales; Enterobacteriaceae. The record is from RNAcentral.